RNAcentral lists this long non-coding RNA (1387 nucleotides) under Citrus sinensis (sweet orange). RNAcentral describes it as "long non-coding RNA (CSIN_LNC000617)". Lineage: Eukaryota; Viridiplantae; Streptophyta; Magnoliopsida; Sapindales; Rutaceae. The record is from RNAcentral.
AUCUCUUCUCUCUUCUCCUCCGACAACCGCCAAGACGCCAAGGACUACCUCAAAGCCGUCUACGACUUGCAGACCGCCAUGCACUAUUUCAUCACCCAUCACUCCACUUCUGACAAGCUCGUACUCGUCCAAACCCUAAUGCAAACCGCCAUGAAAGGACUCGAAAGGGAGUUUUAUCAUAUGCUGAAGAUCAACGGAGAGUAUCUCGACCAUGAGUCUGUCUCCGUCUCCUCUUCCAGGGCCUCUAGAGCGAGCUUCUCUGAUCUUGAAGAUUACGAGGUCAGUGAAACCGAGUCCAGAAUCUCUGACGACGCCAUUUCCGAAAUGGAGCGUGUUUCUACUGCCGCCAUGACUGAUUUAAAAGCCAUCCCCGACCGCAUGAUAUCGGCUGGCUACAGGAAGGAGUGUUGGGGGAGAGAUGAGAGAGAGAGGUACUUUGGUCUCAAAGGCUUUUUUAUGGCUAAUGUUGAUAGAAGUUUGUUUGGGGGGUUAAGAUGAAAAAAGCCAAAAUUUUUAUGGCUAUUUUUGUAAAUUUCCCAUUUUUUUUUAUACGUGACUUAUUCAUUUAUUUAUUUAUUUAUUCAUUCAUUUAUGCCUCCAUAUUUAUUAAUUAUUCUUUAAAGUUUUAGAUUAUAUUUUGUGGAUCAAAUAAGUUCAAUCUAUUUAUAUAUUUAUAUAAAAUUGGGAUUAUAAGAGAUGGUGUGUCAUCGUUAUUUCUCAUUUUUGUAUAUUUUCUCUAUGUAAUAAAUAGAGAAAUUUCUUUCAGAUUUGACUUUUCAUUUUUUCAUAAUUAAUUUGAUUGUUAUUACACAAUUAAUAUGUAAUAGUUCAUCAAAAGACCCACUAUCUUCUCUAAUUAAAACAUUCUUGAUCAUAAAUUAAGCAAUAAUUUAUAAAUAUUUUUAAUUACUCUUCUCCUUUACCUCACCUUAAUUUAUAAAUAGCAACAAAAAUAUAAUAUCUCACGUAAACAUAAACACAAUAUAGCCUGUCGCACCAAGUGCCAAGCCUUGCUUGGUGCGACAGGCAGUAGAAACAUCUCUUCUCUCUUCUCCUCCGACAACCGCCAAGACGCCAAGGACUACCUCAAAGCCGUCUACGACUUGCAGACCGCCAUGCACUAUUUCAUCACCCAUCACUCCACUUCUGACAAGCUCGUACUCGUCCAAACCCUAAUGCAAACCGCCAUGAAAGGACUCGAAAGGGAGUUUUAUCAUAUGCUGAAGAUCAACGGAGAGUAUCUCGACCAUGAGUCUGUCUCCGUCUCCUCUUCCAGGGCCUCUAGAGCGAGCUUCUCUGAUCUUGAAGAUUACGAGGUCAGUGAAACCGAGUCCAGAAUCUCUGACGACGCCAUUUCCGAAAUGGAGCGUGUUUCUACUGCCGCCAU